RNAcentral lists this long non-coding RNA (501 nucleotides) under Manihot esculenta (cassava). RNAcentral describes it as "long non-coding RNA (MESC_LNC006489)". The record is from RNAcentral. Lineage: Eukaryota; Viridiplantae; Streptophyta; Magnoliopsida; Malpighiales; Euphorbiaceae.
GGUAAAGCUCGAGAUCGAGAAGUAGAUGGCUUAUGAAAUUACUUCUAGAAGGUAGAAAAAGAUUAUAAAUUUUGUGAAGAGAAUAGAAACAACGCAUAUCUAUUCAUUUGACCUAUGAAGUGAGCAUUGAUAAAUCAAAUUCUACACGCGAGACUUUUAUGGUGAUAUAUUUUUUUUUUUUGUCGAAGUAUUAUGGUGAUCGAUGAAACGAGCUAUUCGGUGUAGGCCAAAGGUCGGAGUACACCUACUGUGCACUGGUAGAAUGUCUAUGAGAGCAACCACUCUGUUGAGGAAAAAAAUUAUGAAGGAAAAGAGAGAAAGAAGGAAGAUAUGCGGUUGAAAAUAGUAAGAAUUCUGUUCUUAUCACUCACCUUGCCACCUCCUUCCAAAGGAUUGUUUGUUUAGAGACAAAAAUUCACUUUCAUCGCAAGGCAUACCAUUGAGUUGUGAUUUUUGGUUUCAUGCUGAAAAUUAAGCAGAAUUUAAGUCUUCACCAAUGAG